RNAcentral lists this ribosomal RNA (466 nucleotides) under uncultured bacterium. Its description in RNAcentral is "partial 16S ribosomal RNA". It matches the Rfam family "Bacterial small subunit ribosomal RNA", at positions 30 to 507 of the family's 1533-position model. The record is from RNAcentral.
CGAACGCUGGCGGCGUGCUUAACACAUGCAAGUCGAACGGAAAGGCCCUGCUUUUGUGGGGUGCUCGAGUGGCGAACGGGUGAGUAACACGUGAGUAACCUGCCCUUGACUUUGGGAUAACUUCAGGAAACUGGGGCUAAUACCGGAUAGGAGCUCCUGCUGCAUGGUGGGGGUUGGAAAGUUUCGGCGGUUGGGGAUGGACUCGCGGCUUAUCAGCUUGUUGGUGGGGUAGUGGCUUACCAAGGCUUUGACGGGUAGCCGGCCUGAGAGGGUGACCGGCCACAUUGGGACUGAGAUACGGCCCAGACUCCUACGGGAGGCAGCAGGGGGGAAUAUUGCACAAUGGGCGGAAGCCUGAUGCAGCAACGCCGCGUGCGGGAUGACGGCCUUCGGGUUGUAAACCGCUUUCGCCUGUGACGAAGCGUGAGUGACGGUAAUGGGUAAAGAAGCACCGGCUAACUACGUG